RNAcentral lists this unclassified non-coding RNA (329 nucleotides) under soil metagenome. RNAcentral's name for it is "partial contains 5.8S ribosomal RNA, internal transcribed spacer 2, and large subunit ribosomal RNA". The stretch from base 1 to 120 matches the Rfam family "5.8S ribosomal RNA", at positions 35 to 154 of the family's 154-position model. The record is from RNAcentral.
GAUGAAGAACGUAGCGAAAUGCGAUAACUAAUGUGAAUUGCAGAAUUCCGUGAAUCAUCGAAUCUUUGAACGCACAUUGCGCCCCUUGGUAUCCCGAGGGGCAUGCCUGUUCGAGCGUCAUUUCACCACUCAAGCCUGGCUUGGUGUUGGGCGACGUCCCCUUUGGGGACGCGCCUCGAAACGCUCGGCGGCGUGGCACCGGCUUUAAGCGUAGCAGAAUCUUUCGCUUUGGAAGUCGGGGCCCCGUCUGCCGGAAGACCUACUCGCAAGGUUGACCUCGGAUCAGGCAGGGAUACCCGCUGAACUUAAGCAUAUCAAUAAGCGGAGGA